RNAcentral lists this unclassified non-coding RNA (103 nucleotides) under Enterococcus faecalis. Its description in RNAcentral is "RNAII". The stretch from base 35 to 98 matches the Rfam family "Enterococcus sRNA A9". From Rfam's summary of the family: Name 'Ref' stands for RNA in E. faecalis. Encoded by pTEF1 plasmid. Lineage: Bacteria; Bacillati; Bacillota; Bacilli; Lactobacillales; Enterococcaceae. The record is from RNAcentral.
UUGACCCAAAAUAAAAAUAUGCUAUACUAAAAGUGCGAAACGACAUUAAAUCGUACAGAUAACACAAAAAGCAAUCCUACGGCGAAUAGGAUUGCUUUUUUUU